Mustela erminea (ermine) is the source of this 7839-nucleotide long non-coding RNA. RefSeq lists it as uncharacterized. The record is from RefSeq and is a predicted model, not a curated record. The transcript is spliced from 2 exons. Lineage: Eukaryota; Metazoa; Chordata; Mammalia; Carnivora; Mustelidae.
AGAUCUGCUUCUUCUUGACUAAUUUGGUUUCUGGGAAGACUUCAUUCAGGUCCUCAAUGGUCAUCUGAUCAAAUGGAAUGAUGUUCCUCAUCUUCUCCAACUCUUUUUCACAUUCUUCAACCCUGGCCUUGAAGAGAGACAAAAACUCAGCACAACUGUUCACAUCUUCUUUUUCUUCAGCAUCCACCUGAACAGUAUAUUUAUCCUCUGGCACAGGAAACUUCAGGGCAUUAAACUUCUUCUCAAAGUCAUCUACCAAGCCAGCCUUUGCCACAUUGGCCUUGUAUUAAGCCCCAUUCGAUAGCAGGUGGUUUCUCAGAGGGAGUAGCCGACCUGGAGGCCUUUGCUCUUUGCUUGUGACAACGGCAUUUUCCUUCUGAGCACAGUUACUCCUCAGUUACCAAAGAGAAGAAUGCUGGAAGUCUCUGCCAAGGAGUAAACAAAUGUACACCUCUACCUGAGGGGGAGCGAGGCAAAGGAAUAGAAACCCUGUGUGCAGUUACCACCUGGAAAGCCUGUCAGGAAUGGACUGAGGGUCCCUUUUGGGAGUGAAAGUUGUACUCAUGUCCAUGCUCCCAGGGUGGCAGCAAACACGCGUGUCCUUAGUAUAUCGUAGGUCCUCAAUAAAUAGAGGGAAGACUAGAUAAAGGUGAAUUUCUUUCCCAGUUCAUUUGGAAGGGUGCGGGUAAGAGUUGGAGUCUCAGGCAGACCAGUUCUGUGAGCUUUUUCAUAUUGGAUGGAUCAAGAGUGGCCAUUUCUGAAGAAACUACCUAAAACUUUGCAUGGCCCCAUGGAAAUACUAGUCGGUGAGUUUGGGAUGAAGGUCUAAUGGCAGGUUAGCACAACUGAAAUGAAGGUCCCCUUGAAAGAGGACCGCAAGAAUUCAUUCACCAAGUCCUUUUCCUCAGCCCUGCGUGCACGCGUGCACACUCACACUCCUGGGGAUUGAGAUCAUGCCUCCUACAGGACAUCUGAGCUGCGUUUGGGGACUGAGGUGACAUGCAGGUUUGAGGAGCAGUUGUUUAUUUCCAUGGAUCUGACCUUCUGACAGUAUUUGUAAGACAGUUUGGGGAUAAAGGUGUUUUAGAGCCAGUACCAACAAAAGCUGUGUUUAUGGAUAACAGGGCAAUUGUACAAUAUUACACUGGGAAGAGUUCACACAGCAUCCUGCCAGCCAGUGUUAGGUAUAAGCUCCACCUCCAAACGUCCAUAACAUGGCAAUUCACAAUUCCUACUUCCCUAGACAAAGUGACUCAGUUUCAUCAAAAGUAGGAUCUAGAAAAGCAGUGCAUCUAGGGGGAAGAGAUCUGUUAACUCCCAAUAUAAGGGGCCUCCUGGAGCGUGAGCUAUAGUCCUCACAACAGGUAAUGCUAAUCCCUGGGAAAACUUGAAGAAGUUCCACGCUAGCACCGCACUCAAGGGCCUAAAUGGACCAUCUCAUCUAAUCUUCUAAUCUAAUGCAGCCCCAUGCAUGAGGCACUGCUGGGUCUCCAUCCCCAGAUGCAGGAACAGAGAGCCCCACAACUAAUAAAAAGAUAAAGUAAGCUAAAGAAAGUGAGAUAGGAAAGAUAGACAAUUAACAGGGCAAAGAAAGCCUUUUCCAUUCUUCUUGGAACAGCUGGGCCAAAAUGUCCAUUUUGAUACAUGUCAGAAGAUGGUGUUUUUGAGUAUUAAAAUACCACCAGAUACCCAGAGAUGCCUUUAGGGCUACUCAAAGAAUAGAAGGGUGAUAAGAAAAAGCCACCACACCCAGGAGGAGAAAACACUCUGAAACUCUAAACUUUUGUGAAACUGGAUCAGGGCCAAAUGUCAGCGUUUUUCACCUCUUUCCCAGAUGGCAGGAGGCAUUUCACACCGCUUUUCAUAAUUUCAAUAAAUCUGGUAAGUGAUAUGCGUCCUCUGCAUGCCAAGAGACAUAUAAUAUGUGUAUCAAAAUAGAUGUCUAGGUUGGUUUGUGACAAGAACCAGAUUUCAGCAACUGAAGAGAACAAAUCUUGCCUGGCUUUGGUUCAGUGAAUGGGUGAACGAGAACCAGGAUCACUUUCUGCUUACUUUUUUAUUCCCCUUAAUUUUUAAAUGUUUCUCCUACAUUUGCUUAUUCUCUAAAAACCCCUAUCUUGAUAAUUUCUUUUUGUUAGCAAACGCUUCAUCACUCACAGCCUUAUCUGGCAUUGUUGCCAGCUGAUGGUACAAAGCAUUAGGAUUCGGUAAUUCGUUCAGCAAUCCUGUGAAUAUUUAGCGAGCUCCAGCUCUGUAUCAGGCAUUGUUUUAAGCACUGGGGAUAUUGUAGUGAGCAAAAGAAAGUCCCUGCUUACCCAAAAAGACUGAAAAUAAACAAUGAACAACUUUAUAUGCAAUCUGUCACGUGAUGAUAAAUAAUAAUAUAAAGGAAACUAAAGUGGGGGAGCAUGGAUAAGGAGUGAUGGGGGGGUAUCAAGGGCCUCAAUGACCAAAUAGUAUUUUAUCAGAGACUGUAAGGAAUUAAGGAAGCGAGUUGUGAGAAGAGAGCAUUCUGAUGAGCAAGCAUGGCCAAUGCAAAGGUUCUAGGGUACUAAUUUAUUUAUAUUUAAGGACUAGUAAGGAAGCCAGUGAGGCCAGAACAGAGAAAAGAAUGGGAGAGUAGUAAGUGAUAAGGUCAGAGAGUUCACUGGGCCUUGUGGGCCCAGCUAAGAACUUUGGCUUUUAUUCUGGGUGAGAUGGAAGGAUAGUGGCAGGUUUUGAACAGAAGAAGUAAAUGGUUUGAUUUCUAUUUUCAAAGUUUACUCUGGCUCCUACUGGGUAAUCUGAAGGCAGUGGCAGGGGAGCUGGGACAAGAGUAGAGGCAAGAAGGCUUUUGCAGGAGUCAGAGUAAUGAUGAUACUGACUGGGGCUGUUCUGAAGGCAAAGACUAGAGUCUGCUGAUGGAUAAAUGGUUGAGUGUGAGGGAAUUUGAGAUGAUUUCAUGUUCUGGGGAACCCUGGUUAUGCUUACAAACUUAGCAAAUAAAAUGUAUUGCCUACAACACAAAGCUUGUCACACCCAGGCUGACAGCCCAUUUUAUGUGCUAUUUUGCACACAUUUUGUACAUCAGCAGGGAAACUGGAGCCCAGAGUGUGAUGCUACAGGGCACUGCUGCUGUCAGUCUGUCAUCACAGAUUGUUCUGGAGCUUUCCUAGAAGAUGUGUCCCUUUUAAGUUUCCAUCAAGUAAUUAUAAAAAAGCACAAAAGGGGGGUUUCUUUUUUGAGCCAUUUCAAAGAGUGACUCUACAUUGAACAGUCCUGUUGUAACACUAUUCUUAAUAAAAAGUUAAGAAAGAGAAAGCAAUUUUUCAAGUAAAUUUACAAAAUUGCCAACCUGGGUGUCAACCAGGCAAGCUAAACACUAUGGAUAAGCUACUCUUGUUUUUCCAGAGAAUGGCACUACUUUUUGAUGUUAAAAAUAACAAAUACAGAAGGAAGAUGAGGUGAAGACCUCUGCCAGUUCUUGUCUACGUCUUAAAUGAGUCUGCAGCUUAUAGUCUUGUUGUCCAUUCUAACUCCAGCAAGUACCCUGGAGCUCCUUGGAGGUAGAUCCUGUAUAAUAAUCAUUCAGACUAGACUAUUGUUGGUUGUUCCAGCUGGCCUUCAUUUUCCCUCUGGGUCAUUGCAGGGCCCCUUCUCUCUGGGUGAUUACCAUAUUUUCUGGGAGCAGAUCUAGGCCGUGGGAGUGUAGAGUGAAGCAGAUAGCUCCUGGGGACCACCUAGCUUCUCCUCACCACGGCUGACCUUCGCUGCUGCAGACCACAGGACAGGGAGCAGAUGGCCCAUCACCUUGGCAGUUUCUAACCAUCCUUACCUCCCAAGGAGAACCAUGAAUACAACCUGAGGGACAUCCAGAGGUCCCCUAGACCCAUCUCAGGUGCUGGAUAUUUCUCCCAUCCCCAAGUGAAGAGGUCAGGAUAACACAGGUAGAGUUGCAGAAGUGAAAUCUCCCUAAGGGAGCUUAUUUUUUUUUUGGCUUCAUACACCUUUCCCUUGAUCCAUUUCAUGCUUUGUCUUAGGAAGUACAGUCAUGGAGUAGGAAAUGGUUAGAGGUUCAAAAUGCUAUGGACGAUUUGGGAGUUGGACUGAGGUAUAGAAAUGGUAAUUCUGUUGGCUGCAACAUGUCCUGCUGACAUUGACUUAGGGUUGGCUCCAUUUUGUGUAUUAUGGAAUCCUGUUUAGCCACAGUGGCUUAAGGAAAAGAGACGGUGGUUGAGUUGCUGUGGGAAAAGUGAGGAGGAGGUGGCUGGUGGUAGCUCACCAUGGUUUCUGACAUCGUAAGUGUCCCUGAGGAUCUGACAGGGUUUUACAUAUAUGUCAGAGGCCCUUGUCCUUACCCAAAAAGGCACUUAGGAGAUUUAAGGAAAUUCCAUACCCUUUGCACGACAUCUGAGGAGAAAAGCCCUAAGGAUGCCUAAUCAUCAGGUUAUAUGCUAAUAGUUCAUGUCUGCCUUCUGAAUAACGUCCCAGUUCAAAUAUAAUGGCUUGAUCUUUGUUCAUGUAAUAUAGUAUGGGCAGCCCAAAUCCAUCCACCCCACACUUCCUUCCUUCUUUUCUCUAGUAUUCUUUCUAGAAGGGGACUGCUAUCCUAUUAAGUCCUGGAAUAGUUCAUACCAUGGCCUGCUGUCUCCUGUUCCCAGACACCAUUCUUAGUUCCUAUGUCUGCUCUCCUAGCUUGCUACCACUUCUCCCAACUCUGGACCCUGCUACUCUUCUUUAUCCCUCAAGACACCACUCAGUAAGGUAUCCUGGAGAGUUCUAAAUGUGAAGAAGAGAAUUACAAUGCAGAAAAAAGUCCAAGAGAAAGAAGAGUCAAACAUUUACCAAAACCUCAAGUGAAUCAUCCUAAUUUUAAGCUUAUCUUCUGUAUGUAAAUCUUCUCUCUCCUGAGAACUUUCUUCUCUACUUUACAUUGUCACCUGUCUUGGACUGUCUGGAAAAGCCAAAGUUCUGUUAGUUUAGUAAGAAAAAUAAGUAAAUUCUCUUGUUCCACUUGAGUCUAGGCUCUAGCCCAGGAAGGCUAAGAGUGUUCAUUGCCCGUGACCACGAAAGCUCAUUAAGCUAUGGUGGACGUAGAAUAAAGUGUAGGCCUUGCCAGACUCACAGUGUGAGCUCUGAACCACUUCCCCAUACUGCUUUCUUACUUUCCCUCCAUUCUCCAGGCUCAGCAGAGCGAGGGCGAGACAACAAAGGAAGGCUGGGGAGAAAACUCUUCUCCUCCAUCUCUCUCCACAAGGCAGAAGUCACCAGUGAGAACCAAACAUUUCAUCCAAGGAAACACACCUCAUGUCUAUACACACUUGUUUGGUCUCUGUCCAAACCUUUAUUUGCCAUGACUCCAGCCAUGGUCCAACUGGGGUGUGGACCAGUUCUGGCUCUGGUGUCUCUUGUGUGAACAAGCCACUGAGAGCCCAGACAACUCCAGCUGAGCUGUUAAAGUCACAGCAGUGACUGGGACUGCACUCCUAAUAGCCUCCUGUUGCUUCCUCUCCUGGACUUUCUCUGCUCAGUUCCCCAUGCUCAACUCUGAGACCUUGUAAAUGUGUAUCAUACAGAGGCUAAGCAAAUGUUUACAGUGAACCUUUACACAGAAUCCAGAAAAGUUCCCUAAUCCAUAAAAGUUUCCUAGCAAAAACAAGCUCGCCCCGUUCAAGGUAUGCCCACUCUGCUGCCUGUGUGCUGGCUGAAUGUCUCUUUUCAAAAGCUGGAAGGCUCGCCUGCAGCCAAGUGUCCAUGUUUAUGGUCUCUGUGAGGUUUUCACAGUGACGACCUUCAUUCAGAUGGAGUAUAGUCAUCUUUCAUGAUCGCCAUAAAUCAGAGAACUGCCUAUGUCAAGGAGGGUUAGAUUGCUCUGGGGGGUUCUCUUUCGGAGUUUAAAAACAGAGGGGGAAGAAAGGUACUUUACAUGUAGUGAAAAACGCAGGGGGGAGGAAUGUUAUGAAUUUUGUUCUGAAAAAUUCAGCUCAACAGUUUGAAUAGGGCCAAUAUUUAGGCUACAGUAUUUGGCUGGAUCUAUUAUGCAAUUCAUCUUCCUGCAAGCAGAUACAAAUGAUCUGACCCAGAGCCAAUUUAUUUUUGUGGAGUUAAAUUAGUCACUAUUUACAAGCUGAAGAGUUUUCAAAAAGGCUGUUUAAGGAGGGUGCCAUUACUUUUUCUAGUAUGUUUGCCUUUCUAUCAUUCUGGAUUGUUUUUGUUUGAUUGUGGUUUCUGGGUAAAAUAGUGGGUGCUAUUUGUAAACAUGGGCAAGAUAAUUUCAACUUUCUGAGGACUUGGAUCAUUGAUCUUUAAAAUGGGGGUGACACAUUCCAAAACUAGGCUGGGCGAGGAUAUGUGGGUUCGAGGUCUGAGUCAGCUGUGCAAGUAGAGCCAAAUGUUACCUGGAUGUAGGUUUUAAUUAGAGGCAAGAACGGAAGAGGACUUCAUUUCCCAGCAUGGCUUGGAUCCCCUUCCUGAGUUCUUUCCCAAAUAGAACUAGAGCUAAAGAAAGAGAUGUCAAAGAAAUGAUCUAAUCAAACAUCUGCUGUGACAGAGAGGCUGAAGUUAUAUGAAGUCUCACUCCUUGGCCUCCCACCCCAGCUUUUGCAAAAUUACCCACCCUUUCUGAUUCCUUUUCCUCCAACUUCAUUUCAGCAAACUAAUUCUGGUGACCCUAGGGAAGAAUGCCAUGGUAUCGUAGAGUGUUCAGCUGAAAGAUCUUAGCAACCUUUUGUUAGGCAACUUUCUUUUGCAAAAUGGAAGGCAAGAGGGGAAGAGAGCCUGCAGAGUUAGAGAAUAUCAAAGUUAGGUUUAGAACUCAACUCUUCAGACUCUGUGGCCUCCCAUAGGACUAUUCAAGACAACUGUAGGUGAGUUACUGGUUUCAGAGGGUAGGAGUUGGAUGUGGCAGGCUGAAGCCAAUUUCCCCCCACUGCUUCCCCCACUUCCUCCCUCCCCAACUUCAAACCUCCUGCUGCUGAAGUCCUACCUAGUCCCCUCACCUACCCAUCUGCAGUUAAAGAUCAGAUUGCAUAACUUCUUUCCCACACCUGGGCUGCUCCAAGAAUAGGAGUUUCUGCAACAUUUCUCCCUGCUCAUCUCUCCUGCUGGCUCCUGCCUGAAUGGUAUCAAGCACUCAGUGCCCAGUAACCAGAAAUCACUUAUGCCUCUCCCAAAAUGCCUGAUUUGUAUCCAGAUUUUAUCCCAUCAUCUAGUAGGAUUCAUCCAAAUAUUUGUAAAUUAUAGCAUUCAGGAAAGAAGUAAGUGGCAACUUUUUGACCACAGGAAAAAUAGCAGGUUGUUCCUGUCAUCCUCCUCCUCCCAGGCACUUUCUUUAACUGCCACAAUUGUGCUCUACCAGUACUGGCUGUGCUCCAGGAUCCUCUUUCUUGCUCUCUGUUCAGGAUGCCCACAACCUUCUGCCUCCACCAGACAGGGAAAGCCACCCUAUCUGUCCCCUCAGAGUUAUGCAACAAAUAAACAAAGUGCAAAAUAAAGAGCCAUGUUGUUUAGAAUACACUGUGGGGCACAUAGUUGCCUUUCCAUGAGUAUCUAUGGAAUGGAUGAAUGUUGCUCUCUCUAGAAUUGGAAAGAACCAUCAGCCUUCUUCCCAAAUGUUUUCAACUCAGCAUACUGAUGGAUUUUUUCCAUGGCAACAGAGCUCUUAUUAUCAUAAAAGUCAACUGGAAAAUAUCAUCUGCUCUACCAACAUUUGCUCUAUUUCCAAGCCUGCUAGACAGCAUCUAUUCCAUAAAUCAAGAAAUAGAUCUCUUUGUGAAAUUUUCGUAGAAUAAUCACAAAGACUAUCUCGAGCCACAUAAAACUCCCUUAUUCGGCAACGAUUCUUAAAAAAAAAAAAAAAAA